CCAGGGUCUCACACCCUCCAGAAGAUGUAUGGCUGCGACGUGGGGCCGGACGGGCGCCUCCUCCGCGGGUACAAACAGUACGCCUACGACGGCGCCGAUUACCUCACCCUGAACCAAGACCUGAGUUCCUGGACCGCGGCGGACACUGCGGCUCAAAACUCUAAGCGCAAGUUUGAGGAGGGCGGUGUGACAGAGCACGUGAAGGCCUACCUGGAGGGCCGGUGUGUGGAGUGGCUGCUCAGACACCUGGAGAACGGGAAGGAGACGCUACAGCGCACGGAUCCCCCAAAGACACACGUGACCCACCAUCCCAGCCCUGAUGGGAUGUCACCCUGAGGUGCUGGGCCUUGGGCUUCUACCCUGCGGAGAUCACACUGACCUGGCAACGGGAUGGAGAGGACCAAACUCAGGACAUGGAGUUUGUGGAGACCAGGCCUUCAGGGGAUGGAACCUUCCAGAAGUGGGCGGCUGUGGUGGUGCCUUCUGGAGAGGAGCAGAGAUACACGUGCCAUGUGCAGCACGAGGGGCUGCCAGAGCCCCGCACCCUGAGAUGGGAGCCAUCUUCCCAGACCACCAUCCUCAUCGUGGGAAUCGUUACUGGCCUGUUUCUGGUUCUCCUUGGAGCUGUGGUCACUGGAGCUGUGAUGUGGAGGAAGAAGAACUCAGGUAGAAAAGGAGGGAGCUACUCUCAGGCUGCAAGUAAGUGGUGACAGUGACCAGGGCUCUGAUGUGUCUCUCACAACUUCUAAAAGUGUG
Molecule: RNA transcript, 756 nt
Organism: Carlito syrichta (Philippine tarsier)
Lineage: Eukaryota; Metazoa; Chordata; Mammalia; Primates; Tarsiidae
Gene name: class I histocompatibility antigen, Gogo-OKO alpha chain-like
Exons: 5
Source: RefSeq, a predicted model, not a curated record